RNAcentral lists this unclassified non-coding RNA (213 nucleotides) under plant metagenome. RNAcentral's name for it is "partial contains small subunit ribosomal RNA, internal transcribed spacer 1, and 5.8S ribosomal RNA". The record is from RNAcentral.
UUUCCGUAGGUGAACCUGCGGAAGGAUCAUUCAUAAUAAGUGUUUUAUGGCACUUUUUUAAAUCCAUAUCCACCUUGUGUGCAAUGUCAGGGUUGAUUGUUCUCUCGAGAGGAUCAACCCCAAACAUCAACUAUAUCUCAACUCUUUGUCUGAAAAAUAUUAUGAAUAAAACAAUUCAAAAUACAACUUUCAACAACGGAUCUCUUGGCUCUC